CCCUUAGAUGAUUUGGGCUGCACGCGCGCUACACUGACCCUAACAAUGAGCAACUGUCUGGCCUGAGAUGGCUGGGUAGCCUUUUCAACCCAUGUCAUGAUUGGGCUAGAUUUUUGUAAGUCUUGAUCUCUAACGAGGAAUCCCUAGUAUGCGUGAAUCAUCAAUCCAUGCAGAUUACGUCCCUGCCCUUUGUACACACCGCCCGUCGCACCUACCGAUUGGAUGGUCCGGUGAAGCCUCGGGAUUGUGGUUCUUGCCGCUUUAUUGUGGCGUGACCGCGAGAACUUGUCUAAACCUUAUCAUCUAGAGGAAGGUGAAGUCGUAACA
Molecule: ribosomal RNA, 327 nt
Filed under: uncultured eukaryote
Lineage: Eukaryota
Description: partial 18S ribosomal RNA
Rfam family: Eukaryotic small subunit ribosomal RNA
Source: RNAcentral